This 253-nucleotide ribosomal RNA is filed under the name uncultured bacterium. Its description in RNAcentral is "partial 16S ribosomal RNA". It matches the Rfam family "Bacterial small subunit ribosomal RNA", at positions 524 to 776 of the family's 1533-position model. The record is from RNAcentral.
UACGUAGGGUGCAAGCGUUGUCCGGAAUCACUGGGCGUAAAGCGCACGUAGGCGGGACGGUGCGUCGGUGCUGAAAGCGCCAGGCUUAACCUGGCGAGGCGUGCCGAUACGACCGACCUCGAGGCAGACAGAGGGUGGCGGAAUUCCGGGUGUAGUGGUGAAAUGCGUAGAGAUCCGGAGGAACGCCGGUGGCGAAAGCGGCCACCUGGGUCUGACCUGACGCUGAGGUGCGAAAGCGUGGGGAGCAAACCGG